RNAcentral lists this ribosomal RNA (486 nucleotides) under uncultured bacterium. RNAcentral describes it as "partial 16S ribosomal RNA". It matches the Rfam family "Bacterial small subunit ribosomal RNA", at positions 30 to 507 of the family's 1533-position model. The record is from RNAcentral.
AUUGAACGCUGGCGGCAUGCCUUACACAUGCAAGUCGAACGGCAGCACGGGUGCUUGCACCUGGUGGCGAGUGGCGAACGGGUGAGUAAUACAUCGGAACAUGUCCUGUAGUGGGGGAUAGCCCGGCGAAAGCCGGAUUAAUACCGCAUACGAUCUACGGAUGAAAGCGGGGGACCUUCGGGCCUCGCGCUAUAGGGUUGGCCGAUGGCUGAUUAGCUAGUUGGUGGGGUAAAGGCCUACCAAGGCGACGAUCAGUAGCUGGUCUGAGAGGACGACCAGCAACACUGGGACUGAGACACGGCCCAGACUCCUACGGGAGGCAGCAGUGGGGAAUUUUGGACAAAGGGCGAAAGCCUGAUCCAGCAAUGCCGCGUGUGUGAAGAAGGCCUUCGGGUUGGAAAGCACUUUUGUCCGGAAAGAAAUCCUUGGCCCUAAUACGGUCGGGGGAUGACGGUACCGGAAGAAUAAGCACCGGCUAACUACGUG